This 491-nucleotide non-coding RNA is filed under the name Pan troglodytes (chimpanzee). Lineage: Eukaryota; Metazoa; Chordata; Mammalia; Primates; Hominidae. The record is from RNAcentral.
GGCAUACCAAAAUGUGUCUGGAAUUGGUGAGUUCUUGGUCUUACUGACUUUAAGAAUGAAGUUGCGGACUUCUGCGCUAAAAGAAAAUGCAUUCUUCCAACAACUAAUGAGCUUGGAAGAGAACUCCAAACCCCAGAAGAGGCCUGUCACAUUGGCUAACACCUUGAUUUCCACCCACUGAGACCUUGAGCAGAGACUUCAGUUACACCCCACCCAGACUUCUGACCUGCAAAACUCUCCAGAGGGAAGUGAGAAGGAUGUUCACUUGCUGGUGAGAGAAGGAGCUGGUUCCAUCCAUUAUGCAGUCCCCUGGGAGCGCUAAAUGCAACUUUAUCUCAAUGGGGAGUGGACGAUGAGCAGGACGUCGCUAGAGGGAAAGAGCCUCACUUCCCGUUUCCUUUGGCAGCGCCCUUUUCCCGACCUAAGGGAGCAGACCUUCGCUGGUUGGCGUGAGGACUGGCGGGAGAGGUUUUGUGCCAGGAUCCGCACUG